Molecule: non-coding RNA, 179 nt
Filed under: Deltaproteobacteria bacterium
Lineage: Bacteria; Pseudomonadati; Myxococcota; Myxococcia
Description: 6S RNA
Rfam family: 6S / SsrS RNA
About the family: E. coli 6S RNA was the first non coding RNA to be sequenced, but its function was unknown until recently. It consists of 184 nucleotides that fold into an extended hairpin structure with a large single-stranded internal bulge.
Source: RNAcentral
GAUUUUCUGGGGUGCGCGGGGUGGUUCUUAUCCCUUGACCAACAUUUUCACAGACCUGUCGAUGCGUGAAAAAGUGGUGAGCAUGCCUGCCCAUGAGCAGGACGCCUAAUGUUUUUUCCGUAGACAAACUUUUCAUUCAGGUCAUCCGUAUAGAACCAUACCGGCAUCCUGGAGAACAU